CGUAUGCAAUCUACCUUUUACAGAGGGAUAGCCCAGAGAAAUUUGGAUUAAUACCUCAUAGUAUAUCACAAUCGCAUGAUUGAGUUAUUAAAGUCACAACGGUAAAAGAUGAGCAUGCGUCCCAUUAGCUAGUUGGUAAGGUAACGGCUUACCAAGGCUACGAUGGGUAGGGGUCCUGAGAGGGAGAUCCCCCACACUGGUACUGAGACACGGUCAAAACUUAUACGGGAGGCAGCAGUGAGGAAUAUUGGACAAUGGGCGCAAGCCUGAUCCAGCCAUGCCGCGUGCAGGAUGACGGUCCUAUGGAUUGUAAACUGCUUUUAUACGAGAAGAAACACUGCUUCGUGAAGCAGCUUGACGGUAUCGUAAGAAUAAGGAUCGGCUAACUCCGUGCCAGCAGCCGCGAUAAUACGGAGGAUCCAAGCGUUAUCCGGAAUCAUUGGGUUUAAAGGGUCCGUAGGCGGUUUGAUAAGUCAGUGGUGAAAGCCCAUCGCUCAACGGUGGAACGGCCAUUGAUACUGCCAGACUUGAAUUAUUAGGAAGUAACUAGAAUAUGUAGUGUAGCGUUGAAAUGCUUAGAGAUUACAUGGAAUACCAAUUGCGAAGGCAGNUUACUACUAAUUGAUUGACGCUUAUGGACGAAAGC
RNAcentral lists this ribosomal RNA (646 nucleotides) under Flavobacterium sp. Its description in RNAcentral is "bacterial SSU rRNA". It matches the Rfam family "Bacterial small subunit ribosomal RNA", at positions 116 to 760 of the family's 1533-position model. The record is from RNAcentral. Lineage: Bacteria; Pseudomonadati; Bacteroidota; Flavobacteriia; Flavobacteriales; Flavobacteriaceae.